GACGAACGCUGGCGGCGUGCUUAACACAUGCAAGUCGAACGGAAAGGCCCUGCUUGCAGGGUGCUCGAGUGGCGAACGGGUGAGUAACACGUGGGUGAUCUGCCCCUUACUUUGGGAUAAGCCUGGGAAACUGGGUCUAAUACUGGAUAGGACCAUGCUGUAGGUGGUGUGGUGGAAAGAUUAGUUUCGGUAAGGGAUGAGCUCGCGGCCUAUCAGCUUGUUGGUGGGGUAAUGGCCUACCAAGGCGUCGACGGGUAGCCGGCCUGAGAGGGUGGACGGCCACAUUGCGACUGUGAUACGGCCCAGACUCCUACGGGAGGCAGCAGAGGGGAAGAUUGCACAAUGGGCGCAAGCCUGAUGCAGCGACGCCGCGUGGGGGAUGACGGCCUUCGGGUUGUAAACUCCUUUCAGCCAUGACGAAGCCCUUGUGGUGACGGUAGUGGUAGAAGAAGCACCGGCUAACUACGUG
Molecule: ribosomal RNA, 469 nt
Filed under: uncultured bacterium
Lineage: Bacteria
Description: partial 16S ribosomal RNA
Rfam family: Bacterial small subunit ribosomal RNA
Source: RNAcentral